CACGAUUCAGGUACAUACUUUGCACACUUUACACAUACACAUAUCUUGGAUUAUGCAGAAUAUUGUGUCCGACAUGAUAAAUUAAAAAGAUUAAAAUGUUUCUAAUCAUGAUUAAUCUCACUCUGUGAUAUUUCCUAAAAACCUGCAAUUAUUGAAAAAUCAUUUUAAAACCCUGUGUUACUUAAGUCAUUGUGGAAUGUGAGAUGGUAGAGUAUGAGUUUCUUAACAUUGUUUCUUGGAGAAUUUAUUCAAAAAUUCUAGCUACCAUCCUCAGUGUUUUAUAUGCCUGAUAAACCUGAAAAUAUUAACAUGAUAAUUAUAAAAGCUGUCUACUCUGUAUUGAGUUUGUUCAAAAUGAGUUAGACCCUUGUCGAGAGAUUUAUCAUGCUCCUAAGAUCAAGAUAUUUAUUCAGAAAGAUUCACUCUUCCGAAGUAUUAUUGCAUUAGAGGCAUGGGCUAUGCAAAAAUAAGGAUAUUUCGAGGAAAUAAAAAGGAGCAAGUGCUCGACAACCUCGCAGAAAAAAUGGACAAGUGUCCGGC
RNAcentral lists this long non-coding RNA (540 nucleotides) under Sorghum bicolor (sorghum). Its description in RNAcentral is "long non-coding RNA (SBIC_LNC003381)". The record is from RNAcentral. Lineage: Eukaryota; Viridiplantae; Streptophyta; Magnoliopsida; Poales; Poaceae.